RNAcentral lists this ribosomal RNA (300 nucleotides) under uncultured Acinetobacter sp. RNAcentral describes it as "bacterial SSU rRNA". It matches the Rfam family "Bacterial small subunit ribosomal RNA", at positions 11 to 313 of the family's 1533-position model. The record is from RNAcentral. Lineage: Bacteria; Pseudomonadati; Pseudomonadota; Gammaproteobacteria; Moraxellales; Moraxellaceae.
GUUUGAUCAUGGCUCAGAUUGAACGCUGGCGGCAGGCUUAACACAUGCAAGUCGAGCGGAGUGAUGGUGCUUGCACUAUCACUUAGCGGCGGACGGGUGAGUAAUGCUUAGGAAUCUGCCUAUUAGUGGGGGACAACAUUUCGAAAGGAAUGCUAAUACCGCAUACGUCCUAAGGGGGAAAGCAGGGGAUCUUCGGACCUUGCGCUAAUAGAUGAGCCUAAGUCAGAUUAGCUAGUUGGUGGGGUAAAGGCCUACCAAGGCGACGAUCUGUAGCGGGUCUGAGAGGAUGAUCCGCCACAC